UGUGACGUGUUCGAGGUGCUCUUCGGGUUCGGGCGCCAUGGAAAUUAGAGGCAUUUGGCGGAGGUUGCCCCACGUUCACGUGCCCAUGAAUUGCCCUUAAUACAAAGAAACCCCUAACUGUAAAGUGCCGUGUAGACUGUUGGCUCCUUAUCACUAAUAAUGAAAUGUCACCCUCGUAUAUACCUUCCGUGGAUCACCGUCCUUUGGUAUUUGCAGAACAUUUGAUGACAACAGCAGAGAUUCUACAAACUCUAGUACAUGGACCUGGCAGAAUCUAACUAUAUUUUUAAUG
Molecule: long non-coding RNA, 292 nt
Organism: Spea bombifrons (plains spadefoot toad)
Lineage: Eukaryota; Metazoa; Chordata; Amphibia; Anura; Pelobatidae
Exons: 3
Source: RefSeq, a predicted model, not a curated record